RNAcentral lists this ribosomal RNA (538 nucleotides) under Listeria innocua. RNAcentral's name for it is "bacterial LSU rRNA". It matches the Rfam family "Bacterial large subunit ribosomal RNA", at positions 2034 to 2571 of the family's 2925-position model. Lineage: Bacteria; Bacillati; Bacillota; Bacilli; Caryophanales; Listeriaceae. The record is from RNAcentral.
CGGUGAAAUUAUAGUACCUGUGAAGAUGCAGGUUACCCGCGACAGGACGGAAAGACCCCGUGGAGCUUUACUGCAACCUGAUAUGGAAUGUUUGUACCGCUUGUACAGGAUAGGUAGGAGCCGAAGAGACGUGUGCGCUAGCAUACGAGGAGGCAAUGGUGGGAUACUACCCUGGCUGUAUGACCAUUCUAACCCGCCACGCUAAGCGCGUGGGGAGACAGUGUCAGGUGGGCAGUUUGACUGGGGCGGUCGCCUCCUAAAGAGUAACGGAGGCGCCCAAAGGUUCCCUCAGAAUGGAUGGAAAUCAUUCGCAGAGUGUAAAGGCACAAGGGAGCUUGACUGCGAGACUGACAAGUCGAGCAGGGACGAAAGUCGGGCUUAGUGAUCCGGUGGUUCCGCAUGGAAGGGCCAUCGCUCAACGGAUAAAAGCUACCCCGGGGAUAACAGGCUUAUCUCCCCCAAGAGUCCACAUCGACUGGGAGGUUUGGCACCUCGAUGUCGGCUCGUCGCAUCCUGGGGCUGUAGUCGGUCCCAAGGG